This 190-nucleotide ribosomal RNA is filed under the name Klebsiella pneumoniae. RNAcentral's name for it is "partial 23S ribosomal RNA". It matches the Rfam family "Bacterial large subunit ribosomal RNA", at positions 2734 to 2925 of the family's 2925-position model. Lineage: Bacteria; Pseudomonadati; Pseudomonadota; Gammaproteobacteria; Enterobacterales; Enterobacteriaceae. The record is from RNAcentral.
GGCACUGCCCGGUAGCUAAAUGCGGAAGAGAUAAGUGCUGAAAGCAUCUAAGCACGAAACUUGCCCCGAGAUGAGUUCUCCCUGAGACUUUAAGUCUCCUGAAGGAACGUUGAAGACGACGACGUUGAUAGGCCGGGUGUGUAAGCGCAGCGAUGCGUUGAGCUAACCGGUACUAAUGAACUCGAGCAGC